Molecule: ribosomal RNA, 253 nt
Filed under: uncultured bacterium
Lineage: Bacteria
Description: partial 16S ribosomal RNA
Rfam family: Bacterial small subunit ribosomal RNA
Source: RNAcentral
UACGGAGGAUUCAAGCGUUAUCCGGAUUUAUUGGGUUUAAAGGGUGCGUGGGCGGUCGGAUAAGUUAGAGGUGAAAUCCCGGGGCUCAACUUCGGAAUUGCCUCUGAUACUGUUCGGCUAGAGAGUAGUUGCGGUAGGCGGAAUGUAUGGUGUAGCGGUGAAAUGCUUAGAGAUCAUACAGAACACCGAUUGCGAAGGCAGCUUACCAAGCUACUUCUGACGUUGAGGCACGAAAGCGUGGGGAGCAAACAGG